Long non-coding RNA from Cavia porcellus (domestic guinea pig), 881 nucleotides. RefSeq lists it as uncharacterized. NCBI's taxonomy places the organism in Eukaryota, Metazoa, Chordata, Mammalia, Rodentia, Caviidae. The record is from RefSeq and is a predicted model, not a curated record. The transcript is spliced from 4 exons.
GCCCACGCUCCCCGGCCACCCAGGUCUGGUCUCCGCGCAGCUGAUAGAUAUGUUUUGACAAGUUCUAUUAAGUACAAAGACGGCCACAGGGCAACAUGUGGAGUUGAUAGAGAGCGAGGCGGGAAGGCAGAUCGCGGUGUGAGGGCUGCCAGCGCUGACGGAAUUGGCCGCAGUGAACUGCGUGCGUGCCUCUCUUCAUCGCUACCAAAUUUCAGCGCGGGCGUUGGCACCCACGACGCUGAGGAGGGCGAGUCUCCCCUCAGUUUCUCUUUCUGUCUGCGGAUUGCCAGCAAAUCAAGGAUUUUGCAGAAGUCUAAGUGGCUGCUUUUAUCUACACGGAAUUGCCAUCAGGUGCCAAGGGAAGAAGCCCGUCCCUGUCAUUGGUGUGGGCCGUAGCCCCUCCCUGAGCCCCUCCCAGGACCCGGGAGCAGAGCUGGCACCAACACCUGGGCCGACUGCUCUCGCCUCUCUCACCGUCUCAAGUGUGGCUGCGUCACCCUCCAGAGCUCUCCUAAACAAGGCACUAAACAGAAGGAGGCCAGCAUAUAGUUAAGUAGCAGCCCUCGGAUGAUGGAGAUUAAUGAAGAGGGCGUGGUGGCCAACUAGAAGGUGCCUCCUGGUCUCUGGACAGCUCAGAGGAAUUGGUAAGCACCUGUGAGUGACAGGAUGAAGAUUCAUGGUGGAUGCAGAAAUAACCAUUCACCAAACUGUCGAAAGAUUUUCUUCGUAUGUUUAUUUGCCAUUGGUAUAUUUUCUUUGACUAAGUGUCCACCCAAGCCUUUUUGCACAUUCAUUGAGCUCUUCAUCUUCUUAUUACAAAGUUUGUUGAGAUUUUUAAUAAGAUACAUAUUUUACAUUUUUCAGUUAUCUUUCAAUAUUUA